This 253-nucleotide ribosomal RNA is filed under the name uncultured bacterium. RNAcentral describes it as "partial 16S ribosomal RNA". It matches the Rfam family "Bacterial small subunit ribosomal RNA", at positions 524 to 776 of the family's 1533-position model. The record is from RNAcentral.
GACGAACCGAGCGAACGUUGUUCGGAAUCACUGGGCUUAAAGGGCGCGUAGGCGGGCUGUCAAGUCUGGGGUGAAAUCCCGCGGCUCAACCGUGGAACUGCCUCAGAUACUGACGGCCUCGAGGGAGGUAGGGGCGAGCGGAACUGUAAGUGGAGCGGUGAAAUGCGUUGAUAUUCACAGGAACUCCGGUGGCGAAGGCGGCUCGCUGGACCUUUUCUGACGCUGAGGCGCGAAAGCUAGGGGAGCAAACAGG